Molecule: ribosomal RNA, 254 nt
Filed under: uncultured bacterium
Lineage: Bacteria
Description: partial 16S ribosomal RNA
Rfam family: Bacterial small subunit ribosomal RNA
Source: RNAcentral
CACGUAGGCACCAAGCGUUAUCCGGAUUUAUUGGGCGUAAAGAGCUCGUAGGCGGUUCGGUAAGUCGGGUGUGAAAACUCUGGGCUCAACCCAGAGAGGCCACCCGAUACUGCUGUGACUAGAGUGCGGUAGGGGAGCGGGGAAUUCCUGGUGUAGCGGUGAAAUGCGCAGAUAUCAGGAGGAACACCGGUGGCGAAGGCGGGUCUCUGGGCCGAUACUGACGCUGAGGUGCGAAAGCAUGGGGAGCAAACAGG